Molecule: RNA transcript, 3139 nt
Organism: Ctenopharyngodon idella (grass carp)
Lineage: Eukaryota; Metazoa; Chordata; Actinopteri; Cypriniformes; Xenocyprididae
Gene name: zona pellucida sperm-binding protein 3-like
Exons: 6
Source: RefSeq, a predicted model, not a curated record
GAGUACAUCAAUCUAGUACGAGGUCACGGGUUUGACUGCUGUUCCAGUGCACUUUCACGCGUAGAAGGUUGGAAAAACACGGGUUACGUGUUCCCUGGAACGCGGCAUUAGGCUUGCUGCGACUGUGUUACGGUGUUCAGCCGCAACACCAGUUAUAUCACUUGCCCCACCGUGACCGCGGCACCGGCCCCACCGUCGUUUUGAUUUUUUAUAGUAAUAAAAAUAAUUUAGUUUAGUUAGAGGACAGAUACAGUUAAAAACUGAACGCGUCUGCUUAAUUCAGUGAGGGCUGAACGAGAGUUGCAGCAGGAGUCAGAUUUUACCUCACUUCGGCCAUUUCGCCUCACUUCUCUGAAUGACGAUGGAUGAAGAUUUGGUUGCAAAGCGAAAUGUAAAAGCAUAUUUAAGCGAGUUUGUCAUUGUACUCUUUUGUUGUUGUUGUUGUUGUUGUUGUUGUGUUUUUCAUUAAGAUAAUAACGCACCCACCAUUCAAGCAACUGCAACCUCCGAAUUGCCGCUACUUUAAGUGAAAGUAAAAUGUUUUUAUUGAUUUUUGGUGGCAUUUUUGCCCUCAAGCCCCUGUUAAUUUCCGACCUUGCUUAUGAUAAUCCAAAUGUAUUUCCAGUUAAUUUGGCUGAAACAUCAGCAGCAUGAGACGGUCUCGUUUCACCUUGUAAACAAUCUUUGGAGUGUAGUCCAUCGCGCACGUCUUUUGCACUUGCUCUGUUGACUGAAGCAGUUUCUUUGAAUGAAAGCAUGAAAAGCAGCCCAUUGCCGUGCGAAACAUAACUCUUGUUCAGUGUAGAUGAAUUUUAGGAGGUGUACUUUUUGUUCCGAUUGUAUUAUAGUUCUAUUCAUGAGAAUCGAUCGGGUCACUCGCACCAGUGCGCCUAAAUAUUUUUUAACACUCGCGCGCAGUUAUUUUCAGGCGCAAAUGCGAGCGAAAUACUCGCACUGUAGAGCCCUGCUUUAAGGAACUAAUAUGCACCAUUUAGGGCUAAGCUUUUGCAUGCACUGAGGGUAUGAAAAAGCUACUCAAAUGACCAGACUGGAUAUUUAUUUUUUUAUUUAUUUACAGUCAAUAGUGUAUUAUUGGUUCUUGUAAAGUUAUCUUAAUAGGUGCCAAUCUCAAGUGAUUUGUUUUUAGCAAUGGCCUUAAAAAGAAAAAAAAGUUUGAUACAAUUUUGAAAUCAUUUAUAGUACACUGUCAGUGCCCAAGCUUUAGUAGUAAUUCAUUUUAAUUCAAGGUAAGUAUUGUUUUGUAUUUGAAAAAUCCCAUCUUCCUGUUAUAGGUUUGAUGUCUAUUUGAACAUAAUGGUGCUGUAUUUGGAAGUUCCUGUAGAUGUUAUCACCAACAUAACCUUCUCUUAAUAGGCUUUUGUUUCCCGUAGCAUGUGGAUGGCACAUGUAUUCACACUUACAGUCAAGGAUGUUAAAAUAAAAAAAAAACUGAAAGUGUCACUUUGAAGUAGAGGGGUGUGGCAUAUAGUUGAACACAAUAUUGGCAGCCAGAAUACAUUCUCCAGACAAUAACUGUGUAUUCUGGUAAUCUCUUUGAUGUGUGUCGGAAUGAGCAGUCAACUCACUGUUCCUGCCCUCACUUACAGGAACCACUGGAAUUUUUAUAUACAUCUAAAUUUUAUGCUAGUAAAUCAGUCAUAAUUAUAAAUAAUAAAGAUAUAAUUAUAAAGAAGCUGAAGAGUAACUUGUGGUUUAAAGUAACUUGUGGUGGAAAUAAGGGCUCAGACAUAUAACGAUAUAAGAAAUGAUAAUAUCUCUAUCACCAAGAUAACUAUCAUUAACUUCAAGGUCAAUAUACUGUACAUUUCAAAAUAGUUACAAAUGAGAAGUACUGUUGUUUCUCAUUUUAUUAAUUGAGUUUUUGUUUUAUGGGCUUGAUGAGUGAACUUCAAUUCAAGUGAGGCAUUGAUUUUGUGAUUAGGAUGGUCCACUAAACAAUUAAGCUUGUUUGGCGGUGUGGGGGCGGGGACAGUGUUCAUGCCAGUAUAAACAAGGGCUAAAACAUGUUACUGCAGUGUGGCUGUGUGGCAUUGUGGUGGCUGCAAUAAUGGGAAUCAGGCAAUGUGUACUUGGGCUUUUAGUGCUGGUUGCAUUUGAUCAUGUGUAUGGUGCCAGACCAAAAGCUAGGGCGUUUCGACCCCGGGUGCUGAUGCAAAAACCUCAAAGUGUUGAUUCUCAACUUAGUGAGCAGUGGAAACCAAUCCAAGCCCCUUACGGAGUUCAAUCUCAGAGGCCCCAACUGGCCCCAAAUGUAGCACCUUCAAGUAUUCAGUCUAAACAAGAAUUGCAGGGCCCAGUCAGGGAGCUGACCUGGAAAUUCCCAGUGGCUCCAGAAGAGCCAGCGCAGCCAGACUUUAAUUUUGAGUUGCAGCAGCCUAAACCUGCCAACAGCAUAGCAGUCCAGUGUUGGGAAGAUGCGGUGCAUGUGGAAGUGAAGCAGGACUUGUUUGGUACUGGCCAGCUCCUUGAGCCCUCUCUUCUGUCUCUAGGGGGCUGUGGUGUUGUGGACAUAGAUGCAGCUGCCGGAGUCCUCGUUUUUCAUUCACCGCUUCAGGAGUGUGGUGGCGAGCUUGUGGUGACUGAGGAUGAGCUUGUAUACAUCUUUACUCUUGAUUAUAAACCAGCAGCAUUACAGAGCACUCCAAUUGUAAGGUCCAGUGGAGUUACAGUUGGCAUUGAAUGCCACUACCCCAGGAAACAGAAUGUGAGCAGUAGUGACUUGCAGCCAAGUUGGAUCCCAUACAUGUCCACCAAGGUUGCAGAGGACAUUCUUGUUUUCUCCUUGAAGCUCAUGACUGGCAUCUGUGAAGCAGUACAACCAUGUUCCCCUUCGUAUAUUUGUGGACAACUGUGUGGCCACUGCAGGCACUGAUGUGAACUCUGCUCCUAUGUAUUCUUUUAUUGAAAAUCAUGGUUGCCUCACUGAUGCAAAGUAUACAGGCUCCAGCUCCAACUUCCUACCCCGGGUGCAAGAUGACAAACUACAAUUUCAGUUGGAGGCCUUCAGAUUCCAGCAGGAAAGCAGUGGUGCUAUUUACAUCACCUGUCUUCUAAGAGCAAGUGCUGCUUCGUCCCAGAUUGAUGAGGAUCAUAAGGCUUGUUCAUUUGGAACAAAUGG